Molecule: long non-coding RNA, 545 nt
Organism: Bos taurus (domestic cattle)
Lineage: Eukaryota; Metazoa; Chordata; Mammalia; Artiodactyla; Bovidae
Source: Ensembl
UAUGUAUACUUGCUUACAUACAUUUGCUAUAUACUUUCCUUAGUAUAGAGGAUGAUGGUUUCAGCCAUUUUUAUUUAAAUGUGAAAAGAAGGGAUGAUCCUGUGAGGCUGGAAGACUGCAGGAUACAGAGAUAAACAAGAUAAACAAGUGGAGGAAAAUAAAAAUCCCUCUCUACCAGGUUGGUGUUUCCAGAGACAAAACUCUGAGAUGGAUCUCGGUGUAGGAUGUUUAUUACAAGAAUACCCUGAGGAUCCACACCUGUGGAUAGAGGGCGAGCAGACAGAAUUGAGGAGAGAAAGAAGUCAGACUGCCAUGCAGGCUGAGCACAGCCUUGACUGAUGCCCUGGGAGCUCUGGAGCCAGAGGAGUUCAUUGGAAAUGCUUCCAGUAUUUCACCGUUAAGUCUGAUGUUGGCUUUUGAAUUGGGAUAGAUUUUUUUCCUCAUGUUUAAGAAGUAUCUAUUCGUAUGUUAUUAAUUUUUUUUUUAAAUCGAGGAUGUUUGUUGUUUAAAAUCCCUUUACAAUCUAUGAAGAUGAUCAUCUGAUC